UGAAACUACUGGGCCAAAUUAAUCCAAACUUGGCCACAAUCAUCAUUGGGGUAUCUAGUUUAAAAAAUGUGUGGCGUGACCCGGCCAACCAACCAAGAUGGCCGCCAUGGCUAAAAAUAGAACAUAGGGGUAAAAUGCAGUUUUUAGCUUAUAACUCAAAAACCAAAGCAUUUAGAGCAAAUCUGACAUGGGGUAAAAUUGUUUAUCAGGUCAAGAUCUUUCUGCCCUCAAAUUUUCAGAUGAAUCCGACAACCCGUUGUUGGAUUGCUGCCCCUGAAUUGGUAAUUUUAGGGAAUUUUUGCUGUUUUUGGUUAUUAUCUUGAAUAUUAUUAUAGAUAGAGAUAAACUGCAAACAGCAAUAAUGUUCAGCAAAGUUAGCUUUACAAAUAAGUCAACAGGACCAAAAUGGUCAGUUGACCCCUUUAGGAGUUAUUGACCUUUAUAGUCAAUUUUUAACCAUUUUUCGUAAAUCUUAGAAAUCUUUUACAAAAAUCUUCUCCUCUGAAACUACUGUGCCAAAUUAAUCCAAACUUGGCCACAGUCAUCUUUGGGGUAUCUAGUUUAAAAAAUGUGUGGCGUGACCCGGCCAACCAACCAAGAUGGCCGCCAUGGCUAAAAAUAGAACAUAGGGGUAAAAUGCAGUUUUUAGCUUAUAACUCAAAAACCAAAGCAUUUAGAGCAAAUCUGACAGGGGUAAAAUUGUUUAUCAUGUCAAGAUCUUUCUGCCCUCAAAUUUUCAGAUGAAUCCGACAACCCGUUGUUGGGUUGCUGCCCCUGAAUUGGUAAUUUUAGGGAAUUUUUGCUGUUUUUGGUUAUUAUCUUG
Molecule: long non-coding RNA, 823 nt
Filed under: Mytilus galloprovincialis (Mediterranean mussel)
Lineage: Eukaryota; Metazoa; Mollusca; Bivalvia; Mytilida; Mytilidae
Source: RNAcentral